Molecule: transfer RNA, 64 nt
Filed under: Hydraena gracilis
Lineage: Eukaryota; Metazoa; Arthropoda; Insecta; Coleoptera; Hydraenidae
Description: tRNA-Asp
Source: RNAcentral
AAGAAUUUAGUUAAAAAUAUAACAUUAAUUUGUCAAGUUAAAAUUAUUUUAUAAAUAAUUCUUA